CACGUAGGGUGCGAGCGUUGUCCGGAAUUAUUGGGCGUAAAGAGCUCGUAGGCGGUGUGUCGCGUCGGCCGUGAAAACCUGCAGCUUAACUGUGGGCUUGCGGUCGAUACGGGCAUCACUGGAGUGCGGCAGAGGAGACUAGAAUUCCUGGUGUAGCAGUGAAAUGCGUAGAUAUCAGGAGGAAUACCGAUGGCGAAGGCAGGUCUCUGGGCUGACACUGACGCUCAUGCACGAAAGCGUGGGGAGCAAACAGG
RNAcentral lists this ribosomal RNA (254 nucleotides) under uncultured bacterium. RNAcentral's name for it is "partial 16S ribosomal RNA". It matches the Rfam family "Bacterial small subunit ribosomal RNA", at positions 524 to 776 of the family's 1533-position model. The record is from RNAcentral.